This is a long non-coding RNA of Vespa velutina, 1086 nucleotides long. RefSeq lists it as uncharacterized. The transcript is spliced from 3 exons. The record is from RefSeq and is a predicted model, not a curated record. Lineage: Eukaryota; Metazoa; Arthropoda; Insecta; Hymenoptera; Vespidae.
CUGGACUAUUAAAUUAUAAGUUCCACCGAAAUAUAGCUUCCUUAUUUGUCGACACUAUGGUAUCAGCCAUAUUUAAAAAUAGUAAUGAUGAACCAUAUAUUACACUCGAUAAUGAUGCCGAGAGCGUGCCUGGAGAAAGAUUACCAGAAAUAUAGUAGAUUUUGUGAAGGAUAAAACAGUUUUUGGAAAAUGAUUUUGUAUAAAAUACUUGUUGAGUAUAAGAAUUAUUUUGUAUAUGGCAAAAUUGAUGCACUUUCAAGAAAAUUAUGAAGAUUUAAAACAAGUGUUCCUUCCUUCUUCUUACUUCAGAUGCAAGUGUUGUUGGAACUAACUUUAUCUUUAUAGCACAAAGCUAUUGUAUAAGUUAAAAUAGUAUCCUUCUACUUUCAACUGUAUAACUCACCGUUUUUCUUUAAACGUUGCUUCUUUUAUGCAUAAUCGAAGGCCUGAAAACAGUAGUUCAUGCAAUCAUAACAAGGUAAUAACUGAUUUCAAUUCUUAAUGCAUCCAACGAAGCCAUAAAAAUUUGAAAAACAAGUGUCAUUUGAAAAUGAUUGUUAACGAUAGAGAAAUGGAGAAAGAAGAAAACAACAAAGUUAUAUUUAUUAUUUUAUAUAAGAUUGUAGAAGCGUUUCAAUGUGAUCGUUUAAGACGCAUACUUUUAUGCUCUGAAGAUACGAAAAAUAAAGAUUACAAAUGAGAUCAUACAUAUCACAUAAAAACAAUUCGCGAACAAUUAAAAGAUACAUAAAAAUCUCUGGUAACAAUGAAAAUGGCGGUUAUUUAUAAACAACACUGUAUUAGAGAAUAAUUGUCCUUGUCAAAAAUGUGGACAGUUUAGUCGAGAAAAAUAGAUAUGCGAAUUUUUCCGGUUUUAUGCGCACCUGGAAUUACCUAUAGUCAAUUUCUUCCGUAUUUUUAUAUUAAUUGUCCUGUACGUGUCAUAAAAAAUCUUGAAUCCUAUUAAAUUCGUCAAGGUUUUAGCUAUGAUCGAAUGUAGAAUAUUGUCUCCGAAUUUAAUAAUAUUCUCUUUUCCGCAGUUGGUUGCUUUUAUUUUCUUCUUUGAUCUUUAUAUUAAAAAUAUUC